UACGUAGGGAGCAAGCGUUGUCCGGAAUCAUUGGGCGUAAAGCGCGCGUAGGUGGCCACAUAAGUCCGCUGUGAAAGUCAAAGGCUCAACCUUUGAAAGCCGAUGGAUACUGUGUGGCUAGAGUACGGAAGAGGCGAGUGGAAUUCCUGGUGUAGCGGUGGAAUGCGCAGAUAUCAGGAGGAACACCAAUAGCGAAGGCAGCUCGCUGGGACGUUACUGACACUGAGGCGCGAAAGCGUGGGGAGCGAACAGG
Molecule: ribosomal RNA, 253 nt
Filed under: uncultured bacterium
Lineage: Bacteria
Description: partial 16S ribosomal RNA
Rfam family: Bacterial small subunit ribosomal RNA
Source: RNAcentral